CGCCGCUCAUGGCACGA
RNAcentral lists this ribosomal RNA (17 nucleotides) under Giardia ardeae. Its description in RNAcentral is "large subunit ribosomal RNA". The record is from RNAcentral. Lineage: Eukaryota; Fornicata; Diplomonadida; Hexamitidae.